This 700-nucleotide long non-coding RNA is filed under the name Apteryx rowi (Okarito brown kiwi). RNAcentral's name for it is "lncRNA (ENSARWG00000008327.1)". Lineage: Eukaryota; Metazoa; Chordata; Aves; Apterygiformes; Apterygidae. The record is from RNAcentral.
CCCCUGCCAUGAUCCUGAAAUAUCUUACCAAGGACAGAGCGAUGGAGGAGGUUUGCCUUCCUUACAGUCCAAGGCAGUUGGUGUUAGGGAUCACAGAACAGCAACCAGAUGGAUGGAGGCAGUGUGCCUUCCUGUGUUUGCCAGGAAACUUUGCUCUGUCUUGGGCAAUCCAGGUGUUUGACAACUCCAGGUCCCCGUCACAGGAGGCAGCUACAGAGAGCUAGAUUGAGCAGUGUCGGUGCUGUCUGGUGGAGAGGACAUCUACCAGGCAAAGAGAGAAGAAGUGGACAUGCCUUUCUUACUCCAGCCUAUUUGUUGGGCAGAAAAGCCUUUCUGUACUUGGGAGGAGAGGCUAUGUGGGAAGUGCUUGCUCCUGUGAGGCGCAGGAGAGUGAAACACCGAAUUUCUUUGUAUCGAACUCUAUCACAAAAGAUGUUUUGCAGGUUCCUGCCUCAGACCUUCUCUUUGCUGAUAAUAAAGAUAAGAGAUUAUGAAAAUACUAAGGGACUUGUACUAACAGAUUUUUGCAAUACAUCAGCAUGGAAGCACCAAAUAACUGUGUUAGUGGAAUUCAGAUGCAAGUUCUGCAGGAAGAAAAAAAGAAUCUGCUGAGUAACAGUCUGUCAGAUAUGUUAACUGAGAGUGACAACACGAUGUGAUCUGCAAAAAGAGACAAUAAAGACAUUCUACUUACAAAGCA